Molecule: long non-coding RNA, 618 nt
Organism: Uranotaenia lowii
Lineage: Eukaryota; Metazoa; Arthropoda; Insecta; Diptera; Culicidae
Exons: 3
Source: RefSeq, a predicted model, not a curated record
AGUUUUGACAAACUAGAUUCGUCCGCAAGAUAAGACUGUUUUUAUUUACGUUUGAAGUUACGCCCUACGAUUCCAAAUCUUACAAAAAGGUUUUAAAACUUGUAAAGCUUCGUCGGCAGUUCAAUAUCGCCUUAAAAUAUUGCAGUGGCAUGUGCUACAUAACAAAAAAAAACAGGCUUAAUUAGAAGUGUGCGGAUUUCAGUGGGAUUUUGCAAACAAAACAACGCGGGUGAAGAAAUACUUUGACGGAGACUUUGAAAUACGGAUAGUUUUUGAACCCAACGCUUUUCCACUAUACAUAUAAACUGUUUCUGAAACGCUAUUGUCGAAAAGAAUGGAUUUGGAUUCCCUAGGAGCAGAUUAAGGUUGAUUGCAACAGGAGCCGACAUGGACAGAAGGGCAGAUCUUCCUUCAAAAGCGGAAUCUGCAUCACGAUCGUCUGGUAUCGCAUUAGUUUAAAAUUUACGAACUGCGGAAGGGCGGGACCAGGAAUGCAAAGGCCGAUCACAGAGAACCAGAGAACGGGCCCCGAACAAAUAUGUGUCGAAUCCGUGUGUAAGAAUUUGAAUCGUCGGCCAUUUUAGAACCGUUAAAAUUGGCCUAAAAACAGCACCAUCU